AGGGAAUCUUCCGCAAUGGACGAAAGUCUGACGGAGCAACGCCGCGUGAGUGAAGAAGGCCUUCGGGUCGUAAAACUCUGUUGCCGGGGAAGAACAAGUGCCGUUCGAAUAGGGCGGUACCUUGACGGUACCUAACCAGAAAGCCACGGCUAACUACGUGCCAGCAGCCGCGGUAAUACGUAGGUGGCAAGCGUUGUCCGGAAUUAUUGAGCGUAAAGCGCGCGCAGGCGGCUUCUUAAGUCUGAUGUGAAAGCUUGCGGCUCAACCGCAAGCGGUCAUUGGAAACUGGGAGGCUUGAGUGCAGAAGAGGAGAGUGGAAUUCCACGUGUAGCGGUGAAAUGCGUAGAGAUGUGGAGGAACACCAGUGGCGAAGGCGGCUCUCUGGUCUGUAACUGACGCUGAGGCGCGAAAGCGUGGGGAGCAAAC
RNAcentral lists this ribosomal RNA (426 nucleotides) under uncultured bacterium. RNAcentral's name for it is "bacterial SSU rRNA". It matches the Rfam family "Bacterial small subunit ribosomal RNA", at positions 356 to 773 of the family's 1533-position model. The record is from RNAcentral.